GAUGAACGCUGGCGGCGUGCCUAAUACAUGCAAGUCGAGCGAACAGACGAGGAGCUUUUUCCUCUGACGUUAGCGGCGGACGGGUGAGUAACACGUGGAUAACCUACCUAUAAGACUGGGAUAACUUCGGGAAACCGGUGCUAAUAACGGAUAAUAUAUUGAACCGCAUGGUUCAAUAGUGAAUGACGGUUUUGCUGUCACUUAUAGAUGGAUCCGCGCCGCAUUAGCUAGUUGGUAAGGUAACGGCUUACCAAGGCAACGAUGCGUAGCCGACCUGAGAGGGUGAUCGGCCACACUGGAACUGAGACACGGUCCAGACUCCUACGGGAGGCAGCAGUAGGGAAUCUUCCGCAAUGGGCGAAAGCUUGACGGAGCAACGCCGCGUGAGUGAUGAAGGUCUUCGGAUCGUAAAGCUCUGUUAUUAGGGAAGAACAAAUGUGUAAGUAACUAUGCACGUCUUGACGGUACCUAAUCAGAAAGCCACGGCUAACUACGUG
RNAcentral lists this ribosomal RNA (497 nucleotides) under uncultured bacterium. Its description in RNAcentral is "partial 16S ribosomal RNA". It matches the Rfam family "Bacterial small subunit ribosomal RNA", at positions 28 to 507 of the family's 1533-position model. The record is from RNAcentral.